AGCAGGGUAGCGCAGCCCGGUAGCGCGCGUGGGCUCAUAACCAUGAGGUCAGCGGUUCGAAUCCGCUUCCUGCAACCA
Molecule: transfer RNA, 78 nt
Filed under: Mesorhizobium sp. B2-3-4
Lineage: Bacteria; Pseudomonadati; Pseudomonadota; Alphaproteobacteria; Hyphomicrobiales; Phyllobacteriaceae
Description: tRNA-OTHER
Rfam family: tRNA
About the family: Transfer RNA (tRNA) molecules are approximately 80 nucleotides in length.
Source: RNAcentral